Molecule: ribosomal RNA, 268 nt
Filed under: uncultured bacterium
Lineage: Bacteria
Description: partial 16S ribosomal RNA
Rfam family: Bacterial small subunit ribosomal RNA
Source: RNAcentral
GUCCUGGCAGUAAACGGUGCGCGUUUGGUGUGGGAGGAUUCGACCCCUUCUGUGCCGGAGCUAACGCGUUAAACGCGCCGCCUGGGGAGUACGGUCGCAAGAUUAAAACUCAAAGAAAUUGACGGGGGCCCGCACAAGCGGUGGAGUAUGUGGCUUAAUUCGAUGCAACGCGAAGAACCUUACCUAAGCCUUGACAUGCAUCUCUAAGUCGGUGAAAGCCGGCGACUGUCGCAAGACAGAAUUUGCACAGGUGCUGCAUGGCUGUCGU